Molecule: long non-coding RNA, 198 nt
Organism: Cydia pomonella (codling moth)
Lineage: Eukaryota; Metazoa; Arthropoda; Insecta; Lepidoptera; Tortricidae
Exons: 2
Source: RefSeq, a predicted model, not a curated record
GAUUUGUUAGAUGAGUUUCCCAAACGCAGUUAUUCCUUGCAGCUAAUUUUCUUUUCGCCGUUAUUCACAGUCGCAAAUUUUCCCACUUUUUUAAUUUCCCUGUCUUACUAUUUCUCGGUUAAAAUUCAGACAAAAAAAUAUCAGAAACAGAAGCAAAGCGACUGUAAAAAUAAGCUGCAGAGGAAAAAUUAACUGCAG